AGUGAACGCUGGCGGUAGGCCUAACACAUGCAAGUCGAACGGCAGCACAGUAAGAGCUUGCUCUUACGGGUGGCGAGUGGCGGACGGGUGAGGAAUACAUCGGAAUCUACUUUUUCGUGGGGGGUAACGUAGGGAAACUUACGCUAAUACCGCAUACGACCUACGGGUGAAAGCAGGGGAUCUUCGGACCUUGCGCGAUUGAAUGAGCCGAUGUCGGAUUAGCUAGUUGGCGGGGUAAAGGCCCACCAAGGCGACGAUCCGUAGCUGGUCUGAGAGGAUGAUCAGCCACACUGGAACUGAGACACGGUCCAGACUCCGACGGGAGGCAGCAGUGGGGAAUAUUGGACAAUGGGCGCAAGCCUGAUCCAGCCAUACCGCGUGGGUGAAGAAGGCCUUCGGGUUGUAAAGCCCUUUUGUUGGGAAAGAAAAGCAGCAGGUUAAGACCCCGCUGUUCUGACGGUACCCAAAGAAUAAGCACCGGCUAACUUCGU
RNAcentral lists this ribosomal RNA (491 nucleotides) under uncultured bacterium. RNAcentral describes it as "partial 16S ribosomal RNA". It matches the Rfam family "Bacterial small subunit ribosomal RNA", at positions 29 to 506 of the family's 1533-position model. The record is from RNAcentral.